Long non-coding RNA from Oncorhynchus keta (chum salmon), 2249 nucleotides. RefSeq lists it as uncharacterized. Lineage: Eukaryota; Metazoa; Chordata; Actinopteri; Salmoniformes; Salmonidae. The transcript is spliced from 3 exons. The record is from RefSeq and is a predicted model, not a curated record.
AGUAGAACAGUGAGUGGAGAAGCAGAACAUUGAGUAGAGAAGUAGAAGAGGUGUGUGGAGAGGCAGAACAGUGAGUAGAGAAGUAGAAGAUGUGUGUGGAGAGGCAGAACAGUGAGUAGAGAAGUAGAAGAUGUGUGUGGAGAGGCAGAACAGUGAGUAGAGAAGUAGAACAGUGAGUAGAGAAGUAGAACAGUGAGUGGAGAAGUAGAACAUUGAGUAGAGAAGUAGAAGAGGUGUGUGGAGAGGCAGAACAAUGAGUAGAGAAGUAGAACAGUGAGUGGAGAAGUAGAACAGUGAGUAGAGAAGUAGAAGAGGUGUGUGGAGAGGCAGAACAGUGAGUAGAGAAGUAGAACAGUGAGUGGAGAAGUAGAACAGUGAGUAGAGAAGUAGAAGAGGUGUGUGGAGAGGCAGAACAGUGAGUAGAGAAGUAGAACAGUGAGUGGAGAAGUAGAACAGUGAGUAGAGAAGUAGAAGAGGUGUGUGGAGAGGCAGAACAAUGAGUAGAGAAGUAGAACAGUGAGUGGAGAAGUAGAACAGUGAGUAGAGAAGUAGAAGAGGUGUGUGGAGAGGCAGAACAGUGAGUAGAGAAGUAGAACAGUGAGUGGAGAAGUAGAACAGUGAGUAGAGAAGUAGAAGAGGUGUGUGGAGAGGCAGAACAGUGAGUAGAGAAGUAGAAGAUGUGUGUGGAGAAGUAGAACAGUGAGUAGAGAAGUAGAAGAUGUGUGUGGAGAGGCAGAACAGUGAGUAGAGAAGUAGAACAGUGAGUAGAGAAGUAGAAGAGGUGUGUGGAGAGGCAAUAUUACGACAGUAUUACUACAAGUACAGGUACAAGACUUAUACUAUAAUAACAAGCAUUAUUAUAAUAUCAUUUAUUUGACCAGAAAACAAGGGCAGAGGUACAAAGGGGUUAUGGUACCUGUAAAGUAUUGCCUUGACUCAAAUCAUUGACCUGUAUUUUACUGCUGGUUGCAUACAUUGAGUGUCUUCAUCAGUGCAUCACAUGUGUCUAUAGUGCUCGGCUGGUAUUGCACCACUAGGUGUUGCUAACACACUACAGUUACAUAAUUAUACUGAACAAAAAAUAAACACAACAUGCAACAAUUUCAAAGAUUUUACUGAGUUACAGUUCAUAUAAGGGAAUCAGUCAAUUUAAAUGAAUUCAUUAGGCCCUAAUCUAUGGAUUUCACAUGACUGGGAAUACAGUUGGUCAUAGAUACCUUAAAAAAAAAAGUAGGGACAUGGGUCAGAAAACCAGUGAGAAUCUGGUGUGACCACCAUUUGCCUUAUGCUUUGCAACACAUCUACUUCACAUAGAGUUGAUCAGGCUGUUGAUUGUGGCCUAUGGAAUGUUGUCCCACUCCUCUUCAAUGGUUGUGCGAAGUUACUGGAUAUUGGCGGGAACUGGAACACUCUGUCAUACACGUCGAUCCAGAGCAUCCCACAUAUGCUCAAUGGGUGACAUGUAUCGUUAUUACUAGGACAUUUUCAGCUUCCAGGAAUUGUGUAGAGAUCCUUACGACAUGGUGCCGUGCAUUAUCAUGCUGAAACAUGAGGUGAUGGUGGAAGAUGAAUGGCAUGACAAUGGGUCUCAGGAUCUCGGCACAGUAUCUCUGUGCAUUCAAAUUGCGAUAAAAUGCAAUUGUGUUCGUUGUUCGUAGCUUAUGUCCUGCCCAUACCAUAACCCCACCACCUCUGUUCACAAUGUUGACAUCAGAAAACUGCUCGCCUACACAACGCCAUACAUGUGGUCUGCAGUUGUUAGGCCGGUCAGACGUACUACCAAAUUAUCUUUAAUGGUGUUAAAGACGGCCUAUGUUAGAGAAAUGAGCAAAAGCUCUGGUAGACAUUCCUGUAGUCAGCAUGCCAAUUGCAUGCUCCCUCAAAACUUGAGACAUCUGUAGCAUUGUGUUGUGUGACAAAACUGCACAUUUUAGAGUGACAUUUUAUUGUCCCCAGCACAAGGUGCACCUGUGUAAUGAUCUUGCUGCUUAAUGAGCUUCUUGAUAUCCCACACCUGUCAGGUGGAUGGAUUAUUUUGGCAAAAGAGAAAUGCUAACAGGGAUGUAAACAUAUGUUUUUUUGUGCACAUGUAACAUUUCAGCUCAUGAAACAGGGGACUUUACAUGUUGUGUUUAUAUUUUUGUUCAGUGUAAGAUGGAAAGAACAUGUUCAAUCAGGGUUGUGUUAAAUAGUUAUGAAACAGAAGAAAAUGAUCCAAAAUGGCUGCAAAAGUUUUGCCACAGUGUUCC